GGCGUCCGCAUUGUAAUCUCAAGAAGUGUUUUCCGUUUCGGACCAUGCCUAAGUCUCUUGGAAAAGAGCAUCAUAGAGGGUGAUAAUCCCGUACAUGGCAUGGAGCGCCCGAGACUUUGUGAUACGCUUUCUAAGAGUCGAGUUGUUUGGGAAUGCAGCUCAAAAUGGGUGGUAAAUGCCAUCUAAGGCUAAAUAUUGGGGAGAGACCGAUAGCGAACAAGUACAGUGAUGGAAAGAUGAAAAGAACUUUGAAAAGAGAGUUAAACAGUACGUGAAAUUGCCAAAAGGGAAGGGUAGGAGGUCAGAGAUGCGUUCUGGGAUUCAGCCUUGCUUUUGCUUGGUGUUUUUCCCAGAUGGCAGGCCAACGUCGGUUUUGGGCGCUGGAGAAGGGUGGAAGGAAUGUGGCACCUCUCGGGGUGUGUUAUAGCCUUCUACUGGAUACAGUGACCGAGACCGAGGACAGCAGCGUACUCGCAAGAGCGGGCCUUCG
This 490-nucleotide ribosomal RNA is filed under the name Ustilago sparsa. Its description in RNAcentral is "LSU rRNA". It matches the Rfam family "Eukaryotic large subunit ribosomal RNA", at positions 133 to 629 of the family's 3401-position model. The record is from RNAcentral. Lineage: Eukaryota; Fungi; Basidiomycota; Ustilaginomycetes; Ustilaginales; Ustilaginaceae.